This 253-nucleotide ribosomal RNA is filed under the name uncultured bacterium. Its description in RNAcentral is "partial 16S ribosomal RNA". It matches the Rfam family "Bacterial small subunit ribosomal RNA", at positions 524 to 776 of the family's 1533-position model. The record is from RNAcentral.
UACGUAGGGGGCUAGCGUUGUCCGGAAUCAUUGGGCGUAAAGCGCGUGUAGGCGGCCCGGUAAGUCCGCUGUGAAAGUCGGGGGCUCAACCCUGGGAUGCCGGUGGAUACUGUCGGGCUCGAGUACGGAAGAGGCGAGUGGAAUUCCUGGUGUAGCGGUGAAAUGCGCAGAUAUCAGGAGGAACACCAAUUGCGAAGGCAGCUCGCUGGGACGUUACUGACGCUGAGACGCGAAAGCGUGGGGAGCAAACAGG